AUUUAGUCUGGUGCUUCAUUGCACAGGUACUGAGCGUCCACUGCAGAUAUAUAGAAGAGGAAGGCCUUGAAAAGGCUGAAACGCGUUGGAGUCAACUACAUACAGACAUUGGAGUUCUGCAGAAUCGCAUCUAAGCACCAGAGACAGCGAUCGCUAGACCAACAAGACCCGGUCACGUGAUCGGGAGAACCCGGAAGCUGACCAGGUUGCCGAGCAACAGAGGACAGAGAAGCCGGUGACGGAGCCCGGCAGACACAGGAGAAGAGAUACCCCUGAUGAAGUCUUUUGUAUAAGACGAAACGCGUUGGGUUGUCUGUGUUGUGAAGCUAUCUCCGAACCAACUAUAAGGAGAAGGAGAUUGUUGUGAUCCUUCAACAUUUGUAUUCAGCGCUAAGAGUCAUACAUCUUAAAGUGUGGAAUAAUAUAUCUCCUCUGUAUUAAUUUGAAUAUGUUUUUAAUAAAUGUUUUAUGAUGGAA
Pseudophryne corroboree (corroboree frog) is the source of this 477-nucleotide long non-coding RNA. RefSeq lists it as uncharacterized. The record is from RefSeq and is a predicted model, not a curated record. Lineage: Eukaryota; Metazoa; Chordata; Amphibia; Anura; Myobatrachidae. The transcript has 3 exons.